This 493-nucleotide ribosomal RNA is filed under the name uncultured bacterium. RNAcentral's name for it is "partial 16S ribosomal RNA". It matches the Rfam family "Bacterial small subunit ribosomal RNA", at positions 28 to 523 of the family's 1533-position model. The record is from RNAcentral.
GGUUAAUGCUAGCGGUGCGCCUAACACAUGCAAGUCGAGCGGGAUUUGAUUAUAGCUUGCUACAAUUAAUGAGAGCGGCGAACGGGUGAGUAAUAUGUUGGUACAUGCCUCUAAGUCGGGGAUAGCCCACUGAAAAGUGGAAUAAUACCGGAUGGUCUCGAGAGAGUAAAGAUUUAUCGCUUAGAGAGUGGCCUGCAUUUUAUCAGCUAGUUGGUGAGGUAAAAGCUCACCAAGGCAAUGACGGAUAAUUGAUCUGAGAGGAUGAUCAGUCACAACGGAACGGAGACACGGUCCAGACUCCUACGGGAGGCAGCAGUGGGGAAUAUUGGACAAUGGGGGGAACCCUGAUCCAGCCAUGCCGCGUGUGUGAAGAAGGCCUUAUGGUUGUAAAGCACUUUAAGCGAGGAGGAGGCUCUUUUGGUUAAUACCCAAGAUGAGUGGACGUUACUCGCAGAAUAAGCACCGGCUAACUCUGUGCCAGCAGCCGCGGUAA